GUAUCCUACGGGGGGCAGCAGUGGGGAAUAUUGCGCAAUGGACGAAAGUCUGACGCAGCGACGCCGCGUGAGGGAUGAAGGUUUUCGGAUCGUAAACCUCUGUCAGGAGGGAAGAAAGCGCAUGGCGCCGAUCAGCCAUGCGUUGACGGUACCUCCAAAGGAAGCGCCGGCUACCUCCGUGCCAGCAGCCGCGGUAAUACGGAGGGCGCGAGCGUUAAUCGGAAUUACUGGGCGUAAAGCGCGCGUAGGCUGUUGUGUAAGUUGGCGGUGAAAUCCCACGGCUCAACCCGUGAA
RNAcentral lists this ribosomal RNA (294 nucleotides) under uncultured bacterium. Its description in RNAcentral is "partial 16S ribosomal RNA". It matches the Rfam family "Bacterial small subunit ribosomal RNA", at positions 334 to 620 of the family's 1533-position model. The record is from RNAcentral.